UUAGAGUUUUGACAUGGCUCAGGACGAACGCUGGCGGCGUGCCUAAUACAUGCAAGUCGAGCGGACAGAAGGGAGCUUGCUCCCGGAUGUUAGCGGCGGACGGGUGAGUAACACGUGGGUAACCUGCCUGUAAGACUGGGAUAACUCCGGGAAACCGGAGCUAAUACCGGAUAGUUCCUUGAACCGCAUGGUUCAAGGAUGAAAGACGGUUUCGGCUGUCACUUACAGAUGGACCCGCGGCGCAUUAGCUAGUUGGUGGGGUAAUGGCUCACCAAGGCGACGAUGCGUAGCCGACCUGAGAGGGUGAUCGGCCACACUGGGACUGAGACACGGCCCAGACUCCUACGGGAGGCAGCAGUAGGGAAUCUUCCGCAAUGGACGAAAGUCUGACGGAGCAACGCCGCGUGAGUGAUGAAGGUUUUCGGAUCGUAAAGCUCUGUUGUUAGGGAAGAACAAGUGCGAGAGUAACUGCUCGCACCUGACGCCUACGAAGCC
This 495-nucleotide ribosomal RNA is filed under the name Bacillus pumilus. RNAcentral's name for it is "bacterial SSU rRNA". It matches the Rfam family "Bacterial small subunit ribosomal RNA", at positions 1 to 495 of the family's 1533-position model. Lineage: Bacteria; Bacillati; Bacillota; Bacilli; Caryophanales; Bacillaceae. The record is from RNAcentral.